GAUUAACGCUAGCGGCAGGCAUAAUACAUGCAAGUUGAACGAGAUAAGUUUUAGCAAUAGAACUUUGAAAGUGGCGCACGGGUGCGUAACACGUAUGCAACCUACCUUUUACUGGGGAAUAGCCUCUCGAAAGAGAGAUUAAUACCCCAUAAUAUAUUGAUAAGGCAUCUUAUUAAUAUUAAAGUUACGGCGGUAAAAGAUGGGCAGGCGGCGGAUUAGGUAGUUGGUGGGGUAAUGGCUCACCAAGCCGACGAUCAGUAGGGGGUCUGAGAGGAUGUCCCCCCACACUGGUACUGAGACACGGACCAGACUCCUACGGGAGGCAGCAGUAGGGAAUAUUGGACAAUGGGCGCAAGCCUGAUCCAGCCAUGCCGCGUGCAGGAUGAAGGCCCUAUGGGUCGUAAACUGCUUUUGUACGGGAAGAAACCUCACUACGUGUAGUGAGUUGACGGUACCGUGAGAAUGAGGAUCGGCUAACUUCGUGCCAGCCGCCGCCGUAA
This 500-nucleotide ribosomal RNA is filed under the name uncultured bacterium. Its description in RNAcentral is "partial 16S ribosomal RNA". It matches the Rfam family "Bacterial small subunit ribosomal RNA", at positions 28 to 523 of the family's 1533-position model. The record is from RNAcentral.